Nelumbo nucifera (sacred lotus) is the source of this 1042-nucleotide RNA transcript. RefSeq lists it as uncharacterized. NCBI's taxonomy places the organism in Eukaryota, Viridiplantae, Streptophyta, Magnoliopsida, Proteales, Nelumbonaceae. The record is from RefSeq and is a predicted model, not a curated record.
ACUUAUGGCCACAGCACAGCUUGAAGGGGAAGUUGGUCUUCUAAGGAACCUCUCUGCAAUAAUGUUGAAUCGGGAAAAGCAAGCAAACAAGCUAUCAAGCAUCCAUCCCUUUGAUGUCCAACGACAACAACGACAGUGACUGAGGCUGCACCAGAGAUGGGAGUGGAUUAAUCAACACAGCCCAAUCUGUUCAGGGAUCACUUUAUUACCCACCCUUCUCUCCUGGUAGGUAGGUUGAGAUCCAACCUGCAACCUCAAGCCACAGCACAGUGCAAUGCAGCCUUGAAUUUAUGCUUUUAUUGUUCAAGUAAUUGGUCUUGCGGAGCAAAGAAUCAGAAAGUGCAGGAUGUCACUGGUUGCUUGGGCUAAGAAGGAGCUCUCUAGGCGUCGGAUCUACAAGCCUAAAAGCCUACUGCCUCCCCGCACUAGUUUAGCGUCUGCUGAAUCCUUAACCACGCCUUUUGUCCAAGAAGUUGUUAUCUCAGCAGACAUAAGAUGCACCAACUGCCAGAAGAGGAUAGCCCACAUGAUUUCGAAGAUGGAGGGGGGGACCGACUCAGUGGAGGUGGACGUCUUAAAGAAGAAGGUGACAUUCACCUGCAGAUCAGAAAGACAAGCAGGUGAUGCCUUUGGUGAUCCACGUCAAACAGGCAGAUAGUUCUCUUCUCCUCUUGCUCAUCACAUCUCAAGUUGUGGCCAUUAGCUAGUUGGUAUUGAUAAGGUCUCUACCCUCUAGUUGGUUGUGACUUGCGAUCAUCAGGGUUGCGGGGGGGAUUCAUGGGCCAUAGAGAAGGGGCUGAUGGGCUAGCUCCAUUAAGCCAGAAAAAAAAAAUGUCGGUAGAAUGAUUACGAAAUUUUGUAUUUUGUAUCGAGAUGGGGCUGAUGGGCUAUCUCCAUUUUGUAGCUCCAUGAAGCCGGAAAAAAUAAAAUAAAAUAAAUGUUGGUAGAAUGAAUUACGAAAUUUUGUAUUUUGUAUCUUCAACUGUCAAACUACCUUACAAGAACACAGUAAAUUUUGCUUCAUAAUUCCAAUUUCUAACGA